Molecule: long non-coding RNA, 1273 nt
Filed under: Felis catus (domestic cat)
Lineage: Eukaryota; Metazoa; Chordata; Mammalia; Carnivora; Felidae
Description: lncRNA (ENSFCAG00000047338.1)
Source: RNAcentral
AGCCUGGGGAUGUAGUGAUCUGUUAUAAAACUGGCCCCGCCAGGGAAAUGGAACGUUUUCUUUUUUCUUUCCUUUUUCUUUUUCUUUCUUUUUUUUUAGUGUAGUGACCUCUGACACUUCCCCCCCCCCAACCCCCCCCCCCCAACCCCUCGCCUAUCAAGCAAUCUGAGUCACCCACAGCAGGGGACAAAUGCUGGGGAUAGAGGAGGCGUCUAGCAUCCCUGGGAAUGAGAGUCCUUCCCCGCAGGAGUGUCCAUUAGAGCAGAGCCCCACUGAGUUAUUCUUAUGCCCUGUUUGACCCCAGGGGGAUGAGAUGGGUGGGGUUUACAGAAAAAAAAAAAACAAUUGGUUUCAACUAGUUCUACCAGUUUUUACCCCCUACAGUAAAACAUCACUUAACCAUUUUAACACGCCACAAAUUUCCCUUUGCAGAGACAAUGGGCUUUGGAGGAAUUUAUUGGUGGUAAGGAACAGACACACUUUUUACAAAGCCCUUAGUGCCCAACGCAUGCUAAAUAUUUUAUACCUAUUAUGUUAUUAUUUUUUUAAAAAAUAUUUUACUGUUAGGAAAAAAUAGGCUUUUCAUUUUCCAGGUGGGCAAACUGAGGCCCAGAGAAGUAAAGUGAUUUGUUCAAGGAGGGUGUGGAGCUGGGACUUGAACCCGGGGCCGGAAUUACCCCAGAACAUCAGCGGCAGCCGUAAUUUCGUGUGCAAACUUGCCUGAAGCCACCACCUAGGUGGCGAUGAGACACAGAUCUGCCCAUCUUUCACGAAACCUCAGACUCUGUUUUCUGGAGGCGCCACCUGAUCAUCCUCUGGUCCCCUGACAGCAGGGGCAGCUGCAGCCCAGGGCCUGUGACAGUGUCUGAGCCAGGACAGGAAGGGGCGGAGCUCAGCUUCACAGGCCUCUGUCCGUGGGUGUGGUGGAGCCCUAGAGAUUGUGAUGGGGGACCCUGUGUUCCAGUCGGUGGCCAGGAACCUUGGUCUCUUUCCUCCUCUUCCUUCUGUCCUGCAACAGCAUCCAGAUGCAGUCAGUCUUGAAGAGAACAUUUCCAUAGAAUUCUGCAUGACGCCUAUCCUCUCCAGGCCCCAGUCCAGCCUGAGCCACUUCCUCUUCCAGCUGGGAAGCUUCUUUCUUCUUCCCACUUCCUUCUACCUCCUUGGCCCCCACUGUUACUUAUUCAAUCCUAGCAAUGCUUUGAAGCUCAACUUAGAACCUGCCACCCAUGUUACAUGGAAGAAGCCAGACCUAAAAAGAGGACACUGUAAAUGA